Molecule: ribosomal RNA, 468 nt
Filed under: uncultured bacterium
Lineage: Bacteria
Description: partial 16S ribosomal RNA
Rfam family: Bacterial small subunit ribosomal RNA
Source: RNAcentral
GACGAACGCUGGCGGCGUGCUUAACACAUGCAAGUCGAACGGAAAGGCCCUGCUUUUGUGGGGUGCUCGAGUGGCGAACGGGUGAGUAACACGUGAGUAACCUGCCCUUGACUUUGGGAUAACUUCAGGAAACUGGGGCUAAUACCGGAUAGGAGCUCCUGCUGCAUGGUGGGGGUUGGAAAGUUUCGGCGGUUGGGGAUGGACUCGCGGCUUAUCAGCUUGUCGGUGGGGUAGUGGCUUACCAAGGCUUUGACGGGUAGCCGGCCUGAGAGGGUGACCGGCCACAUUGGGACUGAGAUACGGCCCAGACUCCUACGGGAGGCAGCAGUGGGGAAUAUUGCACAAUGGGCGGAAGCCUGAUGCAGCAACGCCGCGUGCGGGAUGACGGCCUUCGGGUUGUAAACCGCUUUCGCCUGUGACGAAGCGUGAGUGACGGUAAUGGGUAAAGAAGCACCGGCUAACUACGUG